Molecule: long non-coding RNA, 997 nt
Filed under: Athene cunicularia (burrowing owl)
Lineage: Eukaryota; Metazoa; Chordata; Aves; Strigiformes; Strigidae
Description: lncRNA (ENSACUG00000007792.1)
Source: RNAcentral
UGCAAGCACCAAAAGUGGGAAUCACUGCUGGUAGAAAGUGCAGGUUUUAUGGGUUUCCCCUUUGCCAUUUUGAUCUAGAUGACAUCAUAAAACGCCACAGGAAAGAGCAAACAGAUGCCAGCGCCGCAGGGGACAGGAGAAGGCAGCAGGUCAAGAACAGGAAUUCGGCAUAUGGGUACGGGCGGCCCCGUUUCCAUGCGUGGAUGCAGAGGAAUUUGCAAGGACCUAACCGCUUUAGAAGAGGGUUUGGACAACAACAAUACAAUCGGAGACAAUUUAGGAAUGGUGUGCCCGGUCCCAGGAGAAGAGCAGCUGCCGCAUUAAAUGGAGUGAGCCCUUUAAAUCGCCAGCCAUCGGCUCAAGAGGGCAACAAGAACAACGAUGCUUUCUCCAAAAGCAGCAGCAGUGGGCAGCCAGAGGGACGGCGACGGCCACCCCCAGGCCCCAAGAGAUUCAGAGCAGCUGCCGCCAGCACCCACACUCCGGGGAGAAGCAGGCCUUUCCUGCUGAACAGGGCACCAGCCUUCCAGCAGAAGCGGAUGCAGCAGCGGUUCUCCAAAGCGAACUUUCAGAGAGGGAUGGAUGCUAACGGAGAAGGGAAACCACCAAGGAUGAGAAGGUGGCAAGUGAAACCCAGCCCUGGAGCAGUUCUGACGGUUUCUGUGGCUAAUCCCCAGGCAGGCCAGACCAGCGCGCCUGGAUCCAAGCGCCCGUUCCUGCGAAGUCAGAGGCCCCCGCUGCGGGCCACCAAGCCCCAGCCCAGGGGGGUGCUGCUGAGAUUCAACUUCCGUGCAAUGGCCAACCAGACCAGCCUGACACUGGAUGAGAGGUUCUCUGGUCUGAGGAAUAAGAGGCGCUUUACAGCAGCCAGGAACGCCGGCCGGACGGUCACCAUGCCUUAGCACCACAUGCUCUUCACAGGGACUGCCCAUAACAGUCCAGGCCCCAUAACGGGCAGCUCAAUAAAACUCGAUAGAUUUCCUCUGAGAUAUAGCUA